CCCGCCAGCGAAUGGCAUCUGCGGAACCAGAACCGCGAAAGUGGCGGGAGCGCUUGAAGAAGCUCGCAGUGUUGUUGUGCGCGGUGAAAACCUGCAAAGCGCAAAGGGUAAACAAAUCUUGGCAUAGGCCGACGGGAACAACACUCCCGCCGGUUUUUG
RNAcentral lists this non-coding RNA (159 nucleotides) under unclassified sequences. Its description in RNAcentral is "FuFi-1 RNA". It matches the Rfam family "FuFi-1 RNA". The record is from Rfam by way of RNAcentral.